RNAcentral lists this ribosomal RNA (2933 nucleotides) under Escherichia coli. RNAcentral's name for it is "23S ribosomal RNA". It matches the Rfam family "Bacterial large subunit ribosomal RNA". The record is from RNAcentral. Lineage: Bacteria; Pseudomonadati; Pseudomonadota; Gammaproteobacteria; Enterobacterales; Enterobacteriaceae.
GGGUUGUGAGGUUAAGCGACUAAGCGUACACGGUGGAUGCCCUGGCAGUCAGAGGCGAUGAAGGACGUGCUAAUCUGCGAUAAGCGUCGGUAAGGUGAUAUGAACCGUUAUAACCGGCGAUUUCCGAAUGGGGAAACCCAGUGUGAUUCGUCACACUAUCAUUAACUGAAUCCAUAGGUUAAUGAGGCGAACCGGGGGAACUGAAACAUCUAAGUACCCCGAGGAAAAGAAAUCAACCGAGAUUCCCCCAGUAGCGGCGAGCGAACGGGGAGGAGCCCAGAGCCUGAAUCAGUGUGUGUGUUAGUGGAAGCGUCUGGAAAGGCGCGCGAUACAGGGUGACAGCCCCGUACACAAAAAUGCACAUGCUGUGAGCUCGAUGAGUAGGGCGGGACACGUGGUAUCCUGUCUGAAUAUGGGGGGACCAUCCUCCAAGGCUAAAUACUCCUGACUGACCGAUAGUGAACCAGUACCGUGAGGGAAAGGCGAAAAGAACCCCGGCGAGGGGAGUGAAAAAGAACCUGAAACCGUGUACGUACAAGCAGUGGGAGCACAGAGCAAUCUGUGUGACUGCGUACCUUUUGUAUAAUGGGUCAGCGACUUAUAUUCUGUAGCAAGGUUAACCGAAUAGGGGAGCCGAAGGGAAACCGAGUCUUAACUGGGCGUUAAGUUGCAGGGUAUAGACCCGAAACCCGGUGAUCUAGCCAUGGGCAGGUUGAAGGUUGGGUAACACUAACUGGAGGACCGAACCGACUAAUGUUGAAAAAUUAGCGGAUGACUUGUGGCUGGGGGUGAAAGGCCAAUCAAACCGGGAGAUAGCUGGUUCUCCCCGAAAGCUAUUUAGGUAGCGCCUCGUGAAUUCAUCUCCGGGGGUAGAGCACUGUUUCGGCAAGGGGGUCAUCCCGACUUACCAACCCGAUGCAAACUGCGAAUACCGGAGAAUGUUAUCACGGGAGACACACGGCGGGUGCUAACGUCCGUCGUGAAGAGGGAAACAACCCAGACCGCCAGCUAAGGUCCCAAAGUCAUGGUUAAGUGGGAAACGAUGUGGGAAGGCCCAGACAGCCAGGAUGUUGGCUUAGAAGCAGCCAUCAUUUAAAGAAAGCGUAAUAGCUCACUGGUCGAGUCGGCCUGCGCGGAAGAUGUAACGGGGCUAAACCAUGCACCGAAGCUGCGGCAGCGACGCUUAUGCGUUGUUGGGUAGGGGAGCGUUCUGUAAGCCUGCGAAGGUGUGCUGUGAGGCAUGCUGGAGGUAUCAGAAGUGCGAAUGCUGACAUAAGUAACGAUAAAGCGGGUGAAAAGCCCGCUCGCCGGAAGACCAAGGGUUCCUGUCCAACGUUAAUCGGGGCAGGGUGAGUCGACCCCUAAGGCGAGGCCGAAAGGCGUAGUCGAUGGGAAACAGGUUAAUAUUCCUGUACUUGGUGUUACUGCGAAGGGGGGACGGAGAAGGCUAUGUUGGCCGGGCGACGGUUGUCCCGGUUUAAGCGUGUAGGCUGGUUUUCCAGGCAAAUCCGGAAAAUCAAGGCUGAGGCGUGAUGACGAGGCACUACGGUGCUGAAGCAACAAAUGCCCUGCUUCCAGGAAAAGCCUCUAAGCAUCAGGUAACAUCAAAUCGUACCCCAAACCGACACAGGUGGUCAGGUAGAGAAUACCAAGGCGCUUGAGAGAACUCGGGUGAAGGAACUAGGCAAAAUGGUGCCGUAACUUCGGGAGAAGGCACGCUGAUAUGUAGGUGAAGCGACUUGCUCGUGGAGCUGAAAUCAGUCGAAGAUACCAGCUGGCUGCAACUGUUUAUUAAAAACACAGCACUGUGCAAACACGAAAGUGGACGUAUACGGUGUGACGCCUGCCCGGUGCCGGAAGGUUAAUUGAUGGGGUUAGCGCAAGCGAAGCUCUUGAUCGAAGCCCCGGUAAACGGCGGCCGUAACUAUAACGGUCCUAAGGUAGCGAAAUUCCUUGUCGGGUAAGUUCCGACCUGCACGAAUGGCGUAAUGAUGGCCAGGCUGUCUCCACCCGAGACUCAGUGAAAUUGAACUCGCUGUGAAGAUGCAGUGUACCCGCGGCAAGACGGAAAGACCCCGUGAACCUUUACUAUAGCUUGACACUGAACAUUGAGCCUUGAUGUGUAGGAUAGGUGGGAGGCUUUGAAGUGUGGACGCCAGUCUGCAUGGAGCCGACCUUGAAAUACCACCCUUUAAUGUUUGAUGUUCUAACGUUGACCCGUAAUCCGGGUUGCGGACAGUGUCUGGUGGGUAGUUUGACUGGGGCGGUCUCCUCCUAAAGAGUAACGGAGGAGCACGAAGGUUGGCUAAUCCUGGUCGGACAUCAGGAGGUUAGUGCAAUGGCAUAAGCCAGCUUGACUGCGAGCGUGACGGCGCGAGCAGGUGCGAAAGCAGGUCAUAGUGAUCCGGUGGUUCUGAAUGGAAGGGCCAUCGCUCAACGGAUAAAAGGUACUCCGGGGAUAACAGGCUGAUACCGCCCAAGAGUUCAUAUCGACGGCGGUGUUUGGCACCUCGAUGUCGGCUCAUCACAUCCUGGGGCUGAAGUAGGUCCCAAGGGUAUGGCUGUUCGCCAUUUAAAGUGGUACGCGAGCUGGGUUUAGAACGUCGUGAGACAGUUCGGUCCCUAUCUGCCGUGGGCGCUGGAGAACUGAGGGGGGCUGCUCCUAGUACGAGAGGACCGGAGUGGACGCAUCACUGGUGUUCGGGUUGUCAUGCCAAUGGCACUGCCCGGUAGCUAAAUGCGGAAGAGAUAAGUGCUGAAAGCAUCUAAGCACGAAACUUGCCCCGAGAUGAGUUCUCCCUGACUCCUUGAGAGUCCUGAAGGAACGUUGAAGACGACGACGUUGAUAGGCCGGGUGUGUAAGCGCAGCGAUGCGUUGAGCUAACCGGUACUAAUGAACCGUGAGGCUUAACCUUACAACGCCGAAGGUGUUU